RNAcentral lists this ribosomal RNA (183 nucleotides) under uncultured bacterium. Its description in RNAcentral is "partial 16S ribosomal RNA". It matches the Rfam family "Bacterial small subunit ribosomal RNA", at positions 1318 to 1500 of the family's 1533-position model. The record is from RNAcentral.
GCAUGAAGCCGGAAUCGCUAGUAAUCGCGGAUCAGAAUGCCGCGGUGAAUACGUUCCCGGGUCUUGUACACACCGCCCGUCACACCAUGGGAGUCGAUAACGCCCGAAGUCAGUGACCCAACCGAGAGGAGGGAGCUGCCGAAGGCGGGAUUGAUAACUGGGGUGAAGUCGUAACAAGGUACC